This 775-nucleotide ribosomal RNA is filed under the name uncultured Neocallimastigales. RNAcentral's name for it is "partial large subunit ribosomal RNA". It matches the Rfam family "Eukaryotic large subunit ribosomal RNA", at positions 24 to 616 of the family's 3401-position model. The record is from RNAcentral. Lineage: Eukaryota; Fungi; Neocallimastigomycota; Neocallimastigomycetes; Neocallimastigales.
GUAGUCUCGCACAGAUGCAUAUCAAUAAGCGGAGGAAAAGAAACUAACAAGGAUUCCCUUAGUAACGGCGAGUGAAGCGGGAAGAGCUCAAAUUUGAAAUCUUCAAGGUUUUACCUUGACGAAUUGUAGUUUAAAGAAGCGUUUUCUGUUGAAGUUUUGGUAAAAGUUCUUUGGAAUAGGACAUCAUAGAGGGUGAGAAUCCCGUAUUUGACCAUUACUUUCAGCUGUGUGAUACACUUUCAAAGAGUCGGAUUGUUUGGGAAUGCAGUCCAAAAUGGGUGGUAAAUUUCAUCUAAAGCUAAAUAUUGGCGAGAGACCGAUAGCGAACAAGUACCGUGAGGGAAAGAUGAAAAGAACUUUGAAAAGAGAGUUAAACAGUACGUGAAAUUGUCAAAAGGGAAGCGUUUGACACCAGUGUUGUUUUCUCGAAAAUCAAUUAAAAAGAGUUUGAUUUUGUUGUGUAUUGACCUUAACAGCUUGCAUUUCAAUUUUCUUGCUUUUUUUAAUGCACUUUUCGUUUAACAAGUCAACAUCAGUUUCUUUUGUUGUAAAAAGGUCAUUGGAAGGUGGCUUUCUUUUCGGAGAAAGUGUUUAUAGCCUUUGACUCCUGCAAUCGGAGAGACUGAGGUCUGCAGCGUAGAUCCUUCGGGGUUAGAUACAUUUGUGCUAAGUUAUAGCUUUUUAUAGACAACUUGUUGACUAUGAUUAGGUCUUGUAGCUUACUCGCUUAUGCUAUUUUACCUACGCUUAGGAUGUUGAGCGCAUGUCUCUCUCU